AGCCUCUUAGUGUAGUGGCCAAGCAUCACGGGCCUUGACCCCGUUGACCCAAGUUCGAAUCUUGGAGAGGCUACCA
Molecule: transfer RNA, 76 nt
Filed under: Candidatus Lokiarchaeum ossiferum
Lineage: Archaea; Promethearchaeati; Promethearchaeota; Promethearchaeia; Promethearchaeales; Promethearchaeaceae
Description: tRNA-Gln
Rfam family: tRNA
About the family: Transfer RNA (tRNA) molecules are approximately 80 nucleotides in length. Their secondary structure includes four short double-helical elements and three loops (D, anti-codon, and T loops). Further hydrogen bonds mediate the characteristic L-shaped molecular structure. tRNAs have two regions of fundamental functional importance: the anti-codon, which is responsible for specific mRNA codon recognition, and the 3' end, to which the tRNAs corresponding amino acid is attached (by aminoacyl-tRNA synthetases). tRNAs cope with the degeneracy of the genetic code in two manners: having more than one tRNA (with a specific anti-codon) for a particular amino acid; and 'wobble' base-pairing, i.e. permitting non-standard base-pairing at the 3rd anti-codon position.
Source: RNAcentral